GAUGAAGAACGUAGCGAAAUGCGAUAAGUAAUGUGAAUUGCAGAAUUCAGUGAAUCAUCGAAUCUUUGAACGCACAUUGCGCCCGCCAGUACUCUGGCGGGCAUGCCUGUCCGAGCGUCAUUUCAACCCUCGCGCCGUCCCUCCAGGGGGCUCGGCGCGGUGUUGGGGGACACGGCCCCGGCCGCCCCCGAAAUGCAGUGGCGACCCCGCCGCGGCCCCUCCAGCGCAGUAAGCACGCUCGCUACGGGAGGCCCGGCGGACGCGUCCGCCGUGAAACGCCCAACUCUUCAGAAGUUGACCUCGGAUCAGGUAGGGAUACCCGCUGAACUUAAGCAUAUCAAUAAGCGGGAGGA
RNAcentral lists this unclassified non-coding RNA (353 nucleotides) under soil metagenome. RNAcentral describes it as "partial contains 5.8S ribosomal RNA, internal transcribed spacer 2, and large subunit ribosomal RNA". The stretch from base 1 to 120 matches the Rfam family "5.8S ribosomal RNA", at positions 35 to 154 of the family's 154-position model. The record is from RNAcentral.